CCUUGUACACACCGCCCGUCACACCACGAAAGUCGGUAACGCCCGAAGCCAGUGGCCCAACCGCAAGGAUGGCGCCUACCACGGUGUGGUCGAUGACUGGGGUG
This 104-nucleotide ribosomal RNA is filed under the name uncultured bacterium. RNAcentral describes it as "partial 16S ribosomal RNA". It matches the Rfam family "Bacterial small subunit ribosomal RNA", at positions 1379 to 1482 of the family's 1533-position model. The record is from RNAcentral.